Molecule: unclassified non-coding RNA, 322 nt
Organism: Aotus nancymaae (Ma's night monkey)
Lineage: Eukaryota; Metazoa; Chordata; Mammalia; Primates; Aotidae
Rfam family: Metazoan signal recognition particle RNA
About the family: The signal recognition particle (SRP) is a universally conserved ribonucleoprotein.
Source: Ensembl
ACCUGGUACAGUGGUGCAUGCCUGCAGUGCAAGCUACUCAGAAGGCAAACUGGGGAGGACUGCUUGAGGCCAGAAAUUCUGGGCUGUGGUGUGCUAUACUGAUCAGGUGUCUGCACUUAGUUCAGCAUCAAUAUGGUGACCUUCUGGGAGUGGACCAGGGGUGAACUGGCCCAGGCCAAAAAUGAAGCAGGUAAAAACUCCUGUGCUAGGCUGGGCGCAGUGGCUCACACCUGUAAUCCUAGCAGUUUGAGAGGCCGAGGCGCAGAUCACUUGAGGCCAGGAGUUCGAGACCAGCCUGGCCAACAUGGUAAAACCCAUCUCU